Molecule: long non-coding RNA, 2095 nt
Filed under: Mytilus galloprovincialis (Mediterranean mussel)
Lineage: Eukaryota; Metazoa; Mollusca; Bivalvia; Mytilida; Mytilidae
Source: RNAcentral
CAUUCUACAACUUACGAGAAUCCACCUCUCGAACUAUAUAAAAGCCGAAGAGACAGUAUGGUAUCAAAAGGAAACGGACAUUCCAUGUUAACAGUACUAGACUAUCAUUAACCAGGUAAAAAUCGAAAUCAUGUCUUUUAUCCCAGUACUUUGGAACCGCUACAACCAAAGGCAGAAUGAUUCUGAGGACAUGUUCCACUUCAUGGAUGACUGGAACCCAAUGCCCUUUAGCUGGGGGUUUGGCCGCCCCACGAUACAGAGAAGACGCAGACCUGAGAAUUCACUCGAGGAUAGAAAGUGGACCUACAGUGUGAAGCUUGGAGACUUCGAUGAACAACACGUCAAAGUGAAAGUAGAUGGUGGUAAGUAUUUAUUUGAUAAUAGCUGGGACGAUCAUAGAUAUUUGGCGACAGGACAUUUUUUUCUGAAGCCCUCGUCCUUGUUUUCUAUUAAUUUUAGGAAAAUGAAUAAAAUGGAAAUAACGUACGUGUAUGAAAAAUUUGCCUUUCGCUAUCAAUAUCAAUUUGUCUUUCCACAGCGGUCACUGAUAUAUCAUGAUGUACGAUAAAAACAAAAAUUAUGUGAAACCUUCAUGGAUUUUUAUGAAAUUUGUGUAUGACCAAAUUACAGUAUCCAGAGUAAAAUUUUGAAAUUAUUUAUUUUCAUUUAUCUGUUUCUGCUUAUAAACGGACUUUUUUUGCAGUUUUACAAGUAGAUAUAGUCUGGAGUUUAAGUUUGUUACGCAUCAAUUACUUUGUAAAAUAUUCAUAGAAAUCCAUGUGUAAAUUCAUAUAUUCUCGCAUAGUGGCUAUGCUUGAAAUAAGACAGCAAUUCAGAACAGGGUAUUUGUUUUCUUAGUAUUAAUGUUAGGGUAAGGGGAUGAUCGUUUGGUUUAUUGGGGCUCGGGUUAUGGACGAAACAACCGUUUAAUCCAAGAUUAUAUAUAUAUUAUGGAAUUCGAUAAAGUAAAAAAAUAUUCGUGAGCGCUUAAACUCAACAAGUUUUUUUUUUCUAUAAUUCAGGUAAAGUAAUAAUUCAUGCUAAGUACACAGAUGGUAAUGAUGAAUGGGGAGAUACUGUCGAGCGCACAAGGACAGUCCAGAUUCCAGAGAAUGUUGAUGCCGAAAAAAUUCAUAGCUUCAUGAAAUCUGAUGGAACUAUGAUGUUAGAAGCCCCGUACCGUGUGUCAGAGGAGAAGCAACUCCAAGUUGUCCCACAAGAAGGUCGGUCCUUGGUGGCCAGUGACAGCCACAGCAAUUUGAUGACAUUCAAUGUCGAAAAUUAUCGGCCAGAGGAGGUGAAGGUUUUAUGUAAAGAUGGAAUGUUGACAGCCCAAGGAGAACGAAAGAGGUCUGAGGAUGGUCAUGAAAUUCGUGAGUCGUUCUUUCGUCAGAUGACAGUUCCGCGGUCUGUGGAUGGGAAGAACAUCCAAUGUUUUAGAGAUGAUAAAGGGAAUCUUACUAUCCGGGCACCAAUGGCUGAAGAUGUUGAAAUGGAACAAGCCAAAAAGUAGACCCAUUGUAACUUUCAGUUGUACUUGAUUAAAUCAUUUUAUUAAUUACAGACUAUAGACAUUUUAACUCAUUUCUUUAUGAUUUGAUUUUGUGUUCAUUGUUAUUUUUUUGAAUGACGAAAAAAGUAAUUCUUGUUAAGAAGAAUAUGUGUAAAAUGUGUUUGCGAACCAAUAGUUGAAUGAUGCACACCGUCAACUCAAUAAAACUUGCUGUUUGUAAAUUUUUACCCUUUUUGAAUAAUAAAGAUAACAUUUUGAGAAAGCUUGUUUAACAAUCAUGUAUAUUUUGUAAAGGAAUAUAUCAUUAAUUAUAGUACAAUCAUUGACUAUUUGCAUAUGAACAAUCAUGUAGAACAAUCAUUAAAUAUCGCAUAAUUUUAGUUCAAUUUGAAAAAGAGAACAUGUUUGUUACUUUAUUUACUUUGUUUUUGUCAGAGAUAGACAUUAAAUAUCAUUUAUAAAAUGUUUUUAUCCCUUAUUUAACAAACUCCUAGGAAACAUUGAUUACUGCAAUAUUGCAUUUCAAAGUUCUUGUACUUUAGAAUGAUAUUCUUAGCUAAAAUUGAGAAAGGAAAUGGGGAA